UACAGAGGGGGCAAGCGUUGUUCGGAAUUACUGGGCGUAAAGGGCGCGUAGGCGGCCGCCUAAGUCAGACGUGAAAUCCCUCGGCUCAACCGGGGAACUGCGUCUGAUACUGGAUGGCUUGAGAUUGGGAGAGGGAUGCGGAAUUCCAGGUGUAGCGGUGAAAUGCGUAGAUAUCUGGAGGAAUACCGGUGGCGAAGGCGGCAUCCUGGACCGACAUUGACGCUGAUGAGCGAAAGCUAGGGGAGCAAACGGG
RNAcentral lists this ribosomal RNA (253 nucleotides) under uncultured bacterium. RNAcentral's name for it is "partial 16S ribosomal RNA". It matches the Rfam family "Bacterial small subunit ribosomal RNA", at positions 524 to 776 of the family's 1533-position model. The record is from RNAcentral.